GCUGGGCAUGGUGGCACGUGCCUGUAAUCCCAGCGGCUCAGGAGGCUGUGGCAGGAGGAUCACAAGUUCGAGGCAGCCUCUGACUUAGGAGCCUCUAAGCAACUUAGCGAGACCCUGUCGCAA
RNAcentral lists this small RNA (123 nucleotides) under Marmota monax (woodchuck). Lineage: Eukaryota; Metazoa; Chordata; Mammalia; Rodentia; Sciuridae. The record is from RNAcentral.